AUUGAACGCUGGCGGCAGGCCUAACACAUGCAAGUCGAGCGGAUGAAGGGAGCUUGCUCCUGGAUUCAGCGGCGGACGGGUGAGUAAUGCCUAGGAAUCUGCCUGGUAGUGGGGGAUAACGUCCGGAAACGGGCGCUAAUACCGCAUACGUCCUGAGGGAGAAAGUGGGGGAUCUUCGGACCUCACGCUAUCAGAUGAGCCUAGGUCGGAUUAGCUAGUUGGUGGGGUAAAGGCCUACCAAGGCGACGAUCCGUAACUGGUCUGAGAGGAUGAUCAGUCACACUGGAACUGAGACACGGUCCAGACUCCUACGGGAGGCCGCAGUGGGGAAUAUUGGACAAUGGGCGAAAGCCUGAUCCAGCCAUGCCGAGUGUGUGAAGAAGGUCUUCGGAUUGUAAAGCACUUUAAGUUGGGAGGAAGGGCAGUAAGUUAAUACCUUGCUGUUUUGACGUUACCAACAGAAUAAGCACCGGCUAACUUCGUG
This 484-nucleotide ribosomal RNA is filed under the name uncultured bacterium. Its description in RNAcentral is "partial 16S ribosomal RNA". It matches the Rfam family "Bacterial small subunit ribosomal RNA", at positions 30 to 507 of the family's 1533-position model. The record is from RNAcentral.